RNAcentral lists this ribosomal RNA (465 nucleotides) under uncultured bacterium. RNAcentral describes it as "partial 16S ribosomal RNA". It matches the Rfam family "Bacterial small subunit ribosomal RNA", at positions 28 to 507 of the family's 1533-position model. The record is from RNAcentral.
GACGAACGCUGGCGGCGUGCUUAACACAUGCAAGUCGAACGGAAAGGCCCCUUUGGGGGUACUCGAGUGGCGAACGGGUGAGUAACACGUGAGUAACCUGCCCUUGACUUCGGGAUAACUUCAGGAAACUGGGGCUAAUACCGGAUAGGAAUCCUUGCUGCAUGGUGGGGGUUGGAAAGCUUCGGCGGUUUUGGAUGGACUCGCGGCUUAUCAGCUUGUUGGUGGGGUAGUGGCUUACCAAGGCUUUGACGGGUAGCCGGCCUGAGAGGGCGACCGGCCACAUUGGGACUGAGGUACGGCCCAGACUCCUACGGGGGGCAGCAGUGGGGAAUAUUGCACAAUGGGCGGAAGCCUGAUGCAGCAACGCCGCGGGCGGGAUGACGGCCUUCGGGUUGUAAACCGCUUUCAGCAGGGGCGAAGCUUGUGGUGACGGUACCUGCAGAAGAAGCACCGGCUAACUACGUG